Molecule: ribosomal RNA, 253 nt
Filed under: uncultured bacterium
Lineage: Bacteria
Description: partial 16S ribosomal RNA
Rfam family: Bacterial small subunit ribosomal RNA
Source: RNAcentral
UACGGCGGGUGCGCGCGUUAAUCGGAAUUACUGGGCGUAAAGCGCGCGUAGGCGGUUUGUUAAGUCCGCUGUGAAAGCCCCGGGCUCAACCUGGGAACUGCAGUUGAUACUGUCCGACUAGAGUACGAGAGAGGGAGGUAGAAUUCCAUGUGUAGCGGUGAAAUGCGUAGAUAUAUGGAGGAAUACCAGUGGCGAAGGCGGCCUCCUGGCUCGAUACUGACGCUGAGGUGCGAAAGCGUGGGGAUCAAACAGG